RNAcentral lists this transfer RNA (88 nucleotides) under Candidatus Xiphinematobacter sp. Idaho Grape. RNAcentral describes it as "tRNA-Ser". It matches the Rfam family "tRNA". Rfam says of the family: Transfer RNA (tRNA) molecules are approximately 80 nucleotides in length. The record is from RNAcentral. Lineage: Bacteria; Pseudomonadati; Verrucomicrobiota; Spartobacteria.
GGUGAGGUGGCUGAGAGGCUGAAAGCAGAGCUUUGCUAAAGCUCCGAGCUCGAAAAGCUCCGAGGGUUCGAAUCCCUCCCUCACCGCC